GCUGCUGGAGCACCACUGCUAUCCUCAGGCGCAUCACUCAAUUUUACAUCAUGUACUUUUUCAGGCAUGCAAACACGUAGAGAAUCAUCUCUCAGCACAUCUUCAUGAUCAUCGUCAUCAUCGUCGUCAUCGUCAUCGUCAGAGAUGUCAUCAUCUUCAAUCACCAAUGCAUCAUCAAUCUCAACAGGAGAUAUAUCCAAUUCCUCAUCCUCAGAACUAGAAUCCCCAUUUACUGAUUUCAUUUGUGCAUCUUUA
This 255-nucleotide unclassified non-coding RNA is filed under the name Hevea brasiliensis (rubber tree). The record is from RNAcentral. Lineage: Eukaryota; Viridiplantae; Streptophyta; Magnoliopsida; Malpighiales; Euphorbiaceae.